RNAcentral lists this transfer RNA (72 nucleotides) under Camelus bactrianus (Bactrian camel). It matches the Rfam family "tRNA". Rfam says of the family: Transfer RNA (tRNA) molecules are approximately 80 nucleotides in length. RNAcentral also lists the same sequence under 1 other name. Lineage: Eukaryota; Metazoa; Chordata; Mammalia; Artiodactyla; Camelidae. The record is from Rfam by way of RNAcentral.
GAGGAUAUAGCUUAGUGGUAGAGCAUGUGCUUAGCAUGCACGAGGUCCUGGGUUCAAUCCCCAGUAGCUCCA